AUUGAACGCUGGCGGAAUGCUUUACACAUGCAAGUCGAACGGCAGCACGGACUUCGGUCUGGUGGCGAGUGGCGAACGGGUGAGUAAUGUAUCGGAACGUGCCCAGUCGUGGGGGAUAACGUAGUGAAAAUUACGCUAAUACCGCAUACGAUCUAUGGAUGAAAGCGGGGGAUCGCCAGAUCUCGCGCGAUUGGAGCGGCCGAUAUCAGAUUAGGUAGUUGGUGGGGUAAAGGCCCACCCAGCCAACGAUCUGUAGCUGGUCUGAGAGGACGACCAGCCACACUGGAACUGAGACACGGUCCAGAAUUCUGCGGGAGGCAGCGGUGGGGAAUUUUGGACAAUGGGCGAAAGCGUGAGUCAGCCAUUCCGGGUGCAGGAUGAGGGCCCUCGGGUUGUAAACUGCUUUUGUACAGAACGAAAAGGUUUCUACUAAUACUAGGAGCUCAUGACGGUACUGUAAGAAUAAGCACCGGCUAACUACGUGCCAGCCGCCGCCGUAA
Molecule: ribosomal RNA, 500 nt
Filed under: uncultured bacterium
Lineage: Bacteria
Description: partial 16S ribosomal RNA
Rfam family: Bacterial small subunit ribosomal RNA
Source: RNAcentral